RNAcentral lists this unclassified non-coding RNA (739 nucleotides) under Hevea brasiliensis (rubber tree). The record is from RNAcentral. Lineage: Eukaryota; Viridiplantae; Streptophyta; Magnoliopsida; Malpighiales; Euphorbiaceae.
AGCUGUUCUUCCAAAGUUGGUUCCCCCGUGAUACAUAUAAUAAUUCACCAAAGAGCCACCUUUUUGAAUGAACCGAGCUACUGCAAAGGCCAAAUCUUCAACUGGUCGAUGAUGAACUGGACCGCCAAAAUCAUCAAACCAGCCACUCCAUGCCUCUGUCCAUAUUGUUGGCUUGUUAGGUUUGUUAGGGGAAAAAUAAUCACAAUAAAAACCAUUGCAGGUGUUUAUCACUGGAUCAGGGGCAUCAUCCUCCUUGCACAUGACCCACGGGACCCCAGUACCCAUUUCAACAGCCAUUUUAGCUGCCCAAGUCAUGUAUGCAUGACCUGGAGCACCAUAUUGUUUUAUUUCUAACCCAUACUCGUUCUCAAUCUGAGACAGAAUGAUAGGACCACCUUGGGUCUGAAAUAGCUUCUCAUUCUUCAUCAUUUGGACAAUUUUCGUGGUGAAUCUUUGCAUUUCCCUCUUGAAAGGUUCAUUAUUGGUUCUAAAGCUGAUUCCAGGAACAUACUUCAACCAUACAGGAAAACCACCAAAAUUCCACUCUCCACAAAUAUAAGGCCCAAUUCGAAGAUGCAUAUAAAGCCCUGCCUUCUGAAUCAGCUUUAUGAAUCGAACUAAAUCAUUACGCCCCUCAAAGUUGUAAUUGCCAGGUGAAGGUUCAUGAAGAUUCCAAAACACAUAGGUUUCUAUAACAUCCAAUCCUCCAUCUUUUGAUUUCUGUAUAAGGUCUGGCCAC